CGGGGCGGGGCGGGGCGGGGCAGCGGCCGGCGCCUUAGGAUCCUGCGGGGGAAAUGGGCGGGACGGAGCUAGAGGGCGUGGCCUCAGGCGAGGAAGGCGGGGUAGCGCUUUACCUCGGGCGGACCGACCACUGCGGAGCCUGGAGGACGCUGGGGGCGCGGCCUAGGCUAGGCAGCGCGGGUUGGUGGGCGGUUCCCCGGAGCCACGCCCCUCAGGGGCGGGGGAAUGGUCCCGGGAGCCGGAGCCUGACACCGCCUCCCUCCGCGGCGCAGCUGCUGCUGGUUGAGUGCCAGGUGACCUCAUGCGGCGGCACGCCUCGCGCCCUCUCCCCCGCCGCAGCCGCAGGGACUCCACGUCCCCUCCCGUUCCCGGGGCGGCGGCCUCUUCGGCUCCUUCAGUUAGGCGCGGCUGCCUUUUCCUGGAAAACUUUUGCGAAAGUUUUCAUGUCCUUUAAGAAGAACUUUUUUCUUCUUCUGACCGCGGAUCUCCUUUCAUGAUCCUUCUCCAUUUGAAGUCAAGAUCACUCAAACGUUCUUAUAAAGUCGUCCUGUGUCCCAGGCUCUGAAUUAGGCCAAAACGUUGGGACAGCAUCCUGCUGCCAGCACAACCCCAGUACUGGAGGCAGCGCCAGACUCUUAAAACGUUAUCUGUGCUAUUUUGUCCCACCUGGACGGAUCCCUGUCUUCAGUUCACCUGGAGAGCUUUAAUGAGUAUUAGAGUCACCUGAGUGCCGCCCUCCGCGCACUCGGAGUACUUUACACCCUGAGGGCAGGGGCCUGAAACACGUGAUCUACCGCGGAAUGCCUGGAUUGAAUGUCACCUCUGGGAAAACUUGCCUUCUGGCUUUCCUUAAUCUGCUCGUUUUAUGGUACCUCCCAGGUUAGGCUUCAAGCUCCUGCCGGAGGUCCCACCCUGACUACCCUUAGUGAAGAACUGGAACCCGAAGAAGGCUUGAGCUAAAUAAAUCCUUUCCUCCCCUAA
Molecule: long non-coding RNA, 981 nt
Organism: Mastomys coucha (southern multimammate mouse)
Lineage: Eukaryota; Metazoa; Chordata; Mammalia; Rodentia; Muridae
Exons: 2
Source: RefSeq, a predicted model, not a curated record